CUGCAGUCGACGGCAGCACGGGGGCAACCCUGGUGGCGAGUGGCGAACGGGUGAGUAACAUAUCGGAACAUAUCCGGAAGUGGGGGAUAACGUACCGAAAGGUACGCUAAUACCGCAUAUGCCCUGAGGGGGAAAGGAGGGGAUCGCAAGGCCUUUCGCUUUCGGAGUGGCCGAUAUCGGAUUAGCUAGUUGGUGAGGUAAAGGCUCACCAAGGCGACGAUCCGUAGCUGGUCUGAGAGGACGACCAGCCACACUGGAACUGAGACACGGUCCAGACUCCUACGGGAGGCAGCAGUGGGGAAUUUUGGACAAUGGGGGCAACCCUGAUCCAGCCAUGCCGCGUGAGUGAAGAAGGCCUUCGGGUUGUAAAGCUCUUUCAGACGGAAAGAAACGGUCACGGCCAACACCCGUGACUAAUGACGGUACCGUCAGAAGAAGCACCGGCUAACUACGUGCCAGCAGCCGCGGUAAUACGUAGGGUGCGAGCGUUAAUCGGAAUUACUGGGCGUAAAGCGUGCGCAGGCGGUUUUGUAAGACAGACGUGAAAUCCCCGGGCUUAACCUGGGAACUGCGUUUGUGACUGCAAGACUAGAGUGUAGCAGAGGGGGGUAGAAUUCCACGUGUAGCAGUGAAAUGCGUAGAUAUGUGGAGGAAUACCGAUGGCGAAGGCAGCCCCCUGGGCUAACACUGACGCUCAUGCACGAAAGCGUGGGGAGCAAGCAGGAUUAGAUACCCUGGUAGUCCACGCCCUAAACGAUGUCAACUAGGUGUUGGGGAAGGAGACUUCUUUAGUACCGCAGCUAACGCGAUAAGUUGACCGCCUGGGGAGUACGGUCGCAAGAUUAAAACUCAAAGGAAUUGACGGGGACCCGCACAAGCGGUGGAUUAUGUGGAUUAAUUCGAUGCAACGCGAAAAACCUUACCUACCCUUGACAUGUCAGGAAGAUACCAGAGAUGGGAUUGUGCCCGAAAGGGAACCUGAACACAGUGCUGCAUGGCUGUCGUCAGCUCGUGUCGUGAGAUGUUGGGUUAAGUCCCGCAACGAGCGC
Molecule: ribosomal RNA, 1049 nt
Filed under: uncultured bacterium
Lineage: Bacteria
Description: bacterial SSU rRNA
Rfam family: Bacterial small subunit ribosomal RNA
Source: RNAcentral